GAUGAACGCUCGCUACAGGCUUAACACAUGCAAGUCGAGGGGCAGCAUGGUCUUAGCUUGCUAAGGCCGAUGGCGACCGGCGCACGGGUGAGUAACACGUAUCCAACCUGCCGUCUACUCUUGGACAGCCUUCUGAAAGGAAGAUUAAUACAAGAUGGCAUCAUGAGUCCGCAUGUUCACAUGAUUAAAGGUAUUCCGGUAGACGAUGGGGAUGCGUUCCAUUAGAUAGUAGGCGGGGUAACGGCCCACCUAGUCUUCGAUGGAUAGGGGUUCUGAGAGGAAGGUCCCCCACAUUGGAACUGAGACACGGUCCAAACUCCUACGGGAGGCAGCAGUGAGGAAUAUUGGUCAAUGGGCGCAGGCCUGAACCAGCCAAGUAGCGUGAAGGAUGACUGCCCUAUGGGUGGUAAACUUCUUUUAGAAAGGAAUAAAGUCGGGUAUGUAUACCCGUUUGCAUGUACUUUAUGAAUAAGGAUCGGCUAACUCCGUG
Molecule: ribosomal RNA, 490 nt
Filed under: uncultured bacterium
Lineage: Bacteria
Description: partial 16S ribosomal RNA
Rfam family: Bacterial small subunit ribosomal RNA
Source: RNAcentral